RNAcentral lists this microRNA precursor (78 nucleotides) under Tetrahymena thermophila SB210. Its description in RNAcentral is "Tetrahymena thermophila microRNA mir-598". The record is from RNAcentral. Lineage: Eukaryota; Ciliophora; Oligohymenophorea; Hymenostomatida; Tetrahymenidae.
UCGUGAUCGUGAUCGUGGUCAUGAUCAUGAUCAUGAUUGUGGUCAUGCUCAUGGUCGUGAUCAUGGUCAUGGUCGUGG